Molecule: ribosomal RNA, 443 nt
Filed under: uncultured bacterium
Lineage: Bacteria
Description: partial 16S ribosomal RNA
Rfam family: Bacterial small subunit ribosomal RNA
Source: RNAcentral
CCUACGGGCGGCAGCAGUGGGGCAUAUUGGGCAAUGGGCGCAAGCCUGACCCAGCAACGCCGCGUGAAGGAAGAAGGCUUUCGGGUUGUAAACUUCUUUUGUCAGGGACGAAGCAAGUGACGGUACCUGACGAAUAAGCCACGGCUAACUACGUGCCAGCAGCCGCGGUAAUACGUAGGUGGCAAGCGUUAUCCGGAUUUACUGGGUGUAAAGGGCGUGUAGGCGGGACUGCAAGGCAGAUGUGAAACACACGGGCUCAACCUGUGGCCUGCAUUUGACACUGUAGUUCUUGAGUACUGGAGAGGCAGACGGAAUUCCUAGUGUAGCGGUGAAAUGCGGAGAUAUUAGGAGGAAAACCAGUGGCGAAGGCGGUCUGCUGGACAGCAACUGACGCUGAGGCGCGAAAGCGUGGGGAGCAAACAGGAUUAGAUACCCCUGUAGUC